Molecule: ribosomal RNA, 715 nt
Filed under: uncultured bacterium
Lineage: Bacteria
Description: partial 16S ribosomal RNA
Source: RNAcentral
AUCGGUAUUCCUCCACAUCUCUACGCAUUUCACUGCUACACGUGGAAUUCUACCUCCCUCUGACACACUCUAGCCUGACAGUUUCCAACGCAGUUCCCAGGUUGAGCCCGGGGCUUUCACAUCAGACUUGUCAAACCGCCUGCGCACGCUUUACGCCCAGUAAUUCCGAUUAACGCUCGCACCCUACGUAUUACCACGGCUGCUGGCACGUAGUUAGCCGGUGCUUCUUAUCAAGGUACCGUCAGCCUCAGCCAGUGUUAUUGGCUAAGUUUUCUUCCCUUGCGAAAGAGCUUUACAACCCGAAGGCCUUCUUCACUCACGCGGCAUGGCUGGAUCAGGGUUGCCCCCAUUGUCCAAAAUUCCCCACUGCUGCCUCCCGUAGGAGUCUGGGCCGUGUCUCAGUCCCAGUGUGGCUGAUCAUCCUCUCAGACCAGCUACAGAUCGUCGCCUUGGUAGGCCUUUACCCCACCAACUAGCUAAUCUGACAUCGGCCGCUCCAUUAACGCGAGGUCCGAAGAUCCCCCGCUUUCCCCCUCAGGGCGUAUGCGGUAUUAGCACAGCUUUCGCUGCGUUAUCCCCCAUUAAUGGACACGUUCCGAUGCAUUACUCACCCGUUCGCCACUCGCCAUCAACCUAGCAAGCUAGGUCAUGCUGCCGUUCGACUUGCAUGUGUAAAGCAUGCCGCCAGCGUUCAAUCUGAGCCAGGAUCAAACUC